RNAcentral lists this ribosomal RNA (526 nucleotides) under Hylaeargia sp. BOLD:ACG0628. RNAcentral describes it as "partial 16S ribosomal RNA". It matches the Rfam family "Archaeal large subunit ribosomal RNA", at positions 1923 to 2688 of the family's 2987-position model. The record is from RNAcentral. Lineage: Eukaryota; Metazoa; Arthropoda; Insecta; Odonata; Platycnemididae.
GUCCUCUUGCUUAUUUUGGAGGUCAGACCUGCCCAGUGAUAAUUUUAACGGCCGCGGUAUUCUGACCGUGCAAAGGUAGCAUAAUCAUUAGUCUUUUAAUAGAAGGCUGGAAUGAAAGGUUUAACGAAACAUUAGCUGUCUCAUUUUUAUUUUUUGAACUUAAUUUUUGAGUUAAAAAGCUUAAAUUUUUUUGUAGGACGAGAAGACCCUAUAGAGCUUGACAUUUAAUUUUUAAUGUUAUUUAGGUUAUUUAUUUAUAUUAUUUUGUAAAUGUUUGGUUGGGGUGACAGAAAAUAUAUAAUUAACUUUUUUGUUAUAUAUACAUAAAUUUAUGGGUUUGUGAUCCAUUAUUAUUGAUUGUUAGAUAAAGUUACCUUAGGGAUAACAGCGUAAUCUUCUUUUGGAGUUCUUAUUUGCAAGAAGGGUUGCGACCUCGAUGUUGGAUUAAGAUAAUGGUUUGGUGCAGUAGCUAAAUUAAUAGGUCUGUUCGACCUUUAAAUUCUUACAUGAUCUGAGUUCAGACCGG